CCUUGAAAUACCACCCUUUAAUGUUUGAUGUUCUAACGUUGACCCGUGAUCCGGGUUGCGGACAGUGUCUGGUGGGUAGUUUGACUGGGGCGGUCUCCUCCUAAAGAGUAACGGAGGAGCACGAAGGUUGGCUAAUCCUGGUCGGACAUCAGGAGGUUAGUGCAAUGGCAUAAGCCAGCUUGACUGCGAGCGUGACGGCGCGAGCAGGUGCGAAAGCAGGUCAUAGUGAUCCGGUGGUUCUGAAUGGAAGGGCCAUCGCUCAACGGAUAAAAGGUACUCCGGGGAUAACAGGCUGAUACCGCCCAAGAGUUCAUAUCGACGGCGGUGUUUGGCACCUCGAUGUCGGCUCAUCACAUCCUGGGGCUGAAGUAGGUCCCAAGGGUAUGGCUGUUCGCCAUUUAAAGUGGUACGCGAGCUGGGUUUAGAACGUCGUGAGACAGUUCGGUCCCUAUCUGCCGUGGGCGCUGGAGAACUGAGGGGGGCUGCUCCUAGUACGAGAGGACCGGAGUGGACGCAUCACUGGUGUUCGGGUUG
Molecule: ribosomal RNA, 534 nt
Filed under: Escherichia coli
Lineage: Bacteria; Pseudomonadati; Pseudomonadota; Gammaproteobacteria; Enterobacterales; Enterobacteriaceae
Description: partial 23S ribosomal RNA
Rfam family: Bacterial large subunit ribosomal RNA
Source: RNAcentral